Rosa chinensis is the source of this 1322-nucleotide long non-coding RNA. RefSeq lists it as uncharacterized. The record is from RefSeq and is a predicted model, not a curated record. The transcript is spliced from 5 exons. Lineage: Eukaryota; Viridiplantae; Streptophyta; Magnoliopsida; Rosales; Rosaceae.
UAAGGUCACCUAUUAACAAUAUGCCAUUAAAAAUAACAAAAAUUACAACUCAUGCCAUUCCCCAUAUAUAUUAUUGCAACUCAGGUACUAUAUUCAAAGCCGUUCCGGGAGCUUUUGCUUUCAAGGCCAAGAAAUGGCCCGGCUCGCCUCACCAGAUUCCCAAGCUCUACGUUAGCGCCAGUAACAUCGAAGCUUGCUACACUCCGUCGUACACAAUUUUUGUGGCGCGUUUGCUUCAACCGCUGAUGAUCAAAAGCUGUCCGAUGAUCCUUCCUCUCCAUCUCUUGUCCCCCAACGACGCUCGCCACCACCGAGGAGCCUUCGACGGUCGACGUCACCAGAGAUCGGAGCCAAACACACACAUGAGACUCCAAAAUGAUCUCCUUACCAACCGGUACUACACCUCUUCAAGGCUGCCGUCAAGAUCACCGACUCCGAUCCGCAAAACGACGGACGAUGCGACGCCGCAGCACUCCGUGGCUUAUGUUUCUCGAUCUCCGGUGUCGCGGUGGUAAAGCAACUGCGAGGAUCACAUUUUCAAGUGAUGGCGGGAGUGGGAAGAAGAAGAAAAAGACUAGGUUUUGGUUGAAGAAGAAGAAGAAGAAGAAGAAGGGAGUAGAGAGAUCUAAAGGUGUGGUGAGGAGCAGAAGAAAAAGAGUGGGAGAAGAUUUGGUGUUUGCUUGAAGAAGAGGAAGACUGUAGCUUCCAAAUGUGGAUCGUCUUCUGAUUCCAAAGAGGCUUAUUCUUCAUGAUAAUUAGGAAGAAGAACCAGAACAGCAGCUGCAGCAUAAAGAGCAGCUUCAGCAAGGUGAUGUUGGUGUGUGGGAGUUUCUUAUUAUUGGUAGCAGAUUGUUGAAUGACUUGAUGCCUCUAGGUUGUCUUGAACUUUCAAGUUGUUUGGAAUCAAGGAAACUGAUGGUGCAGCUGCAAUGUUCUCUCAACAUGCUUGAACGAGAUACUGGGUGAUUUCAAGUUGUUGAGUAGCUUGAAAGUUUUGUGGGUCGUAGAGUUACAGGGAGAAGUAGAGAAGCAAAGGAGCGCUAGAUCAACAAGAAAAUCAGAAUGAGUGGAGGCGGCAUGGAAGUGGUGUCGUCUAGGCCACAAGAGGCUAAUGGCCAGCACAAGAGGAAUUUGCUAUGGGAACUUUCUUGUGGUCCAACUAGCCCUUGCUGUUGUUCUUGUAUCUAGUAUGAGAGAUUAUACUUUUGUUAGGCGACUUUGUUAAUUGUUUUCACUUAGUAUGGUAAUUGAUUUGUUACUGAUGUCUACCUAGCUAGUUGAUCUUUGUGUGAUGUUCAGUAAUGAUAUCUGGGUUUUGCUGA